AUGUGCUGUGAGCUCGAUGAGUAGGGCGGGACACGUGGUAUCCUGUCUGAAUAUGGGGGGACCAUCCUCCAAGGCUAAAUACUCCUGACUGACCGAUAGUGAACCAGUACCGUGAGGGAAAGGCGAAAAGAACCCCGGCGAGGGGAGUGAAAAAGAACCUGAAACCGUGUACGUACAAGCAGUGGGAGCACCCUUUGGGGUGUGACUGCGUACCUUUUGUAUAAUGGGUCAGCGACUUAUAUUCUGUAGCAAGGUUAACCGUAUAGGGGAGCCGGAGGGAAACCGAGUCUUAACCGGGCGUUAAGUUGCAGGGUAUAGACCCGAAACCCGGUGAUCUAGCCAUGGGCAGGUUGAAGGUUGGGUAACACUAACUGGAGGACCGAACCGACUAAUGUUGAAAAAUUAGCGGAUGACCUGUGGCUGGGGGUGAAAGGCCAAUCAAACCGGGAGAUAGCUGGUUCUCCCCGAAAGCUAUUUAGGUAGCGCCUCGUGAACUCAUCUCCGGGGGUAGAGCACUGUUUCGGCUAGGGGGCCAUCCCGGCUUACCAACCCGAUGCAAACUGCGAAUACCGGAGAAUGUUAUCACGGGAGACACACGGCGGGUGCUAACGUCCGUCGUGAAGAGGGAAACAACCCAGACCGCCAGCUAAGGUCCCAAAGUCAUGGUUAAGUGGGAAACGAUGUGGGAAGGCCCAGACAGCCAGGAUGUUGGCUUAGAAGCAGCCAUCAUUUAAAGAAAGCGUAAUAGCUCACUGGUCGAGUCGGCCUGCGCGGAAGAUGUAACGGGGCUAAACCAUG
This 798-nucleotide ribosomal RNA is filed under the name Salmonella enterica. RNAcentral describes it as "partial 23S ribosomal RNA". It matches the Rfam family "Bacterial large subunit ribosomal RNA", at positions 392 to 1191 of the family's 2925-position model. The record is from RNAcentral. Lineage: Bacteria; Pseudomonadati; Pseudomonadota; Gammaproteobacteria; Enterobacterales; Enterobacteriaceae.